Non-coding RNA from Sus scrofa (pig), 1355 nucleotides. Lineage: Eukaryota; Metazoa; Chordata; Mammalia; Artiodactyla; Suidae. The record is from RefSeq and is a predicted model, not a curated record.
CUGAGGAGAACUGGGUGAGGUGGAUUGCCCCUGGGUGAGUGGUGGGAGAAGGCGGGGUCUAGAGUUGGGGGGUGUUGCAGGGCGCUUGCUGCUGUGCUAGGGACACGUUGUGGAGGCAAGGGCUUCUGACUGCGCAAAGCCGAGACUGAAGGGUUCUGGUGUUUGGCUGACGCUGUACCGGGUAUUCCGAACUCCUGGCGCAGCCUCAGCCCCCCAUCUUAGGCCUCAGGUGACUCGGCCUCUGUAAUCACCCCCACACCCCGCCCGGGCCGCUGCGACGCCCCAUCUCACUUCCACCUCACUCCCGCUCCGGCGGCCCCAGUCCACGCGCCACUCUUCAAUUCCACUCUUUAUUUCCUAGACCAGUUUUACAAGGAUCGUUAGAGAAGGCUGGGGAAGGAACAGGAGGUUACAGCCCAGCCUGGAAUAGCACCCAGUGGCCUGACUGUACAGUGAAUUUUCUUGAAGUUUGCUCUUGGAAGACCUGAGGGAGCCACGUCCUCUACUGCCCCCUCCCUCAUCCUUCAUUGGGGCAGCUCCAGGACGAUUUUGCCCAUGUUCCUGUUAGUCUCCAUAUACACAUGGGCCGCUUGAAUUUCAGUCAUGGCAUAGACUCUGUCCAGAACCGGCACUAAACGGUGAGGGCUCUCCAUGGAGAAGUGGGGCAGAAUUUGCUCUGUGAAGCUCUUCACCAGCAUCUGCUUGUACUAAGAUAAGGAAAAGGAGACCAUCAGCCCGGACAGUGGCCUAACAACCUGGCCAGUCCCCAUCCUGCUUCGCAUUUCUGCUCUUCCUGAAACUUGUACAUGUCUGAAAAGUCACACAAGGGCACGAAGUAACCCCUUGACGAACAGCAUGUAUGUGCAUACUCCUAGAUUUGUAAUCUCUUCUGUACCAGAUAAAGAUCAAAGCCUGGAGAAAGUAUUAGUGUCACUGAAAGCUGACAGGGCUGUUUUUAAGUAAAGACUUCAAGCAGGAGAUGGCCUCAGACAGGACUUAAUAUAGGCUCAAUUCAAAAGGGAUGUUUAACCUCUGCUAUCCCCCAGCAAUGUGAAAUCAUUUUGGGAAACAUUCCCAAACUUGGCACCUGCUGGACUGCUACUCACAAAAGAUUUCGGGAAUGUAUAAUCUGUUAAAGGUAUUCUCCUGAAAGAAAACAGAAGAUGGUUAUUAUUUAUGAACAGUACAUUAUCACAGUAUGAUUCAUUCUUUCCUUUAUUCCAUAAACGUUUGUCAGUGACUAUUAUGUACAAAGCACUGUGCUAAGUACUUGGAGAUACGAGGAUGACUGGAGAGUAAAGACCCAAUCCCUGACCUCAAGGAGUUCACUGUUUUCUAUAAAUAUAACUGUUUCC